Molecule: small nucleolar RNA, 333 nt
Organism: Cheilinus undulatus (humphead wrasse)
Lineage: Eukaryota; Metazoa; Chordata; Actinopteri; Labriformes; Labridae
Source: RefSeq, a predicted model, not a curated record
GCCCACUGAUGAGAUUAUGGCAAGUAUUAUGAUCUAGUUGGACCAAGAGAUUGUGGCCUCUAGCCUGCUGAUUGAUGGGUAAUCUUGGUAGUGUAAUGGAGUUUUCUUGCAUUGCUGUAAGGGCCCAUCAACAUUUCAUUUGACGCCUCUGAACUUGGACCCCUGCCCCCCCAAGAGCAUUGGGAUGGGACAGGAAGGAGGGGUCAAACAUUAUGCAAAUGCUUGUUCUUGUAUGUCUGUUGUAUGAAUGUAUAUGUAUCAGCUUGCAAGGAUCCACAGUCUAUAUGUACUUGGUUUGACUGUAGUGAAGUACUCUUUGGUAAUCUGAGGGCA